GAACGUCGUGAGACAGUUCGGUCCCUAUCUGCCGUGGGCGCUGGAGAACUGAGGGGGGCUGCUCCUAGUACGAGAGGACCGGAGUGGACGCAUCACUGGUGUUCGGGUUGUCAUGCCAAUGGCACUGCCCGGUAGCUAAAUGCGGAAGAGAUAAGUGCUGAAAGCAUCUAAGCACGAAACUUGCCCCGAGAUGAGUUCUCCCUGACCCUUUAAGGGUCCUGAAGGAACGUUGAAGACGACGACGUUGAUAGGCCGGGUGUGUAAGCGCAGCGAUGCGUUGAGCUAACCGGUACUAAUGAACCGUGAGGCUUAACCUU
This 317-nucleotide ribosomal RNA is filed under the name Escherichia coli. Its description in RNAcentral is "partial 23S ribosomal RNA". It matches the Rfam family "Bacterial large subunit ribosomal RNA", at positions 2614 to 2925 of the family's 2925-position model. The record is from RNAcentral. Lineage: Bacteria; Pseudomonadati; Pseudomonadota; Gammaproteobacteria; Enterobacterales; Enterobacteriaceae. RNAcentral also lists the same sequence under 1 other name.